GGCGGACGGGUGAGUAACACGUAGACGACCUGCCUCGAUGCCGGGGAUAACCCGCCGAAAGGCGAGCUAAUACCCGAUAAGCUCCCGCGGUUUAGAAGCGCGAGAGAAAAGCUCCGACGCAUCGAGAGGGGUCUGCGGCCUAUCAGGUAGUUGGUGGGGUAAGAGCCUACCAAGCCGAUGACAGGUAGGGGGCCUGAGAGGGUGACCCCCCACACGGGGACUGAGAAACGGCCCCGACUCCUACGGGAGGCAGCAGUAAGGGAUAUUGCACAAUGGGCGCAAGCCUGAUGCAGCAACGCCGCGUGCCCGAUGAAGGCCUUCGGGUCGUAAAGGGCUUUUCUGACUGAGGACAAAGACUGUAAGUCAGGAAUAAGUGUCGGCUAACUACGUGCCAGCAGCCGCGGUAAAACGUAGGACGCAAGCGUUAUCCGGAGUUACUGGGCGUAAAGCGCGGGAAGGCGGCAGGCCAAGUCUGAGGUGAAAGCGCCCGGCUCAACCGGGCGAGGCCCUUGGAAACUGGUCGGCUGGAAGGCGAGAGAGGUGGGCGGAAUUCCGGGUGGAGUGGUGAAAUGCGUAGAGAUCCGGAGGAACACCAGAGGCGCAGGCGGCCCACUGGCUCGCCCUUGACGCUGCACCGCGAAAGCUAGGGGAGCGAACGGGAUUAGAAACCCCGGUAGUCC
RNAcentral lists this ribosomal RNA (680 nucleotides) under uncultured bacterium. RNAcentral's name for it is "bacterial SSU rRNA". It matches the Rfam family "Bacterial small subunit ribosomal RNA", at positions 97 to 796 of the family's 1533-position model. The record is from RNAcentral.